AGUGAACGCUGGCGGUAGGCCUAACACAUGCAAGUCGAACGGCAGCACAGGAGAGCUUGCUCUCUGGGUGGCGAGUGGCGGACGGGUGAGGAAUACAUCGGAAUCUACUCUGUCGUGGGGGAUAACGUAGGGAAACUUACGCUAAUACCGCAUACGACCUACGGGUGAAAGCAGGGGACCUUCGGGCCUUGCGCGAUUGAAUGAGCCGAUGUCGGAUUAGCUAGUUGGCGGGGUAAAGGCCCACCAAGGCGACGAUCCGUAGCUGGUCUGAGAGGAUGAUCAGCCACACUGGAACUGAGACACGGUCCAGACUCCUACGGGAGGCAGCAGUGGUGAAUAUUGGACAAUGGGCGCAAGCCUGAUCCAGCCAUACCGCGUGGGUGAAGAAGGCCUUCGGGUUGUAAAGCCCUGUUGUUGGGAAAGAAAUCCAGCUGGCUAAUACCCGGUUAGGAUGACGGUACCCAAAGAAUAAGCACCGGCUAACUUCGUGCCAGCAGCCGCCGUAA
Molecule: ribosomal RNA, 506 nt
Filed under: uncultured bacterium
Lineage: Bacteria
Description: partial 16S ribosomal RNA
Rfam family: Bacterial small subunit ribosomal RNA
Source: RNAcentral